GUCCCACCUGACCCCAUGCCGAACUCAGAAGUGAAACGCCGUARCGCCGAUGGUAGUGUGGGGUCUCCCCAUGCGAGAGUAGGGAACUGCCAGGC
RNAcentral lists this ribosomal RNA (95 nucleotides) under Escherichia coli. Lineage: Bacteria; Pseudomonadati; Pseudomonadota; Gammaproteobacteria; Enterobacterales; Enterobacteriaceae. The record is from RNAcentral.